UUUCACUUUGAAGUUCAUUCUUCGAAUCCUUGAGUGUAUUUAUCUCCUCACCAAGUUUCUGUAUAAGCACCUCAGAGGACUGGUUUUGUUCUGUAUGGCGCUCAACAUCCUUCUUCAGGUCACAAACAGUGUCCUCAAGGACCUCCAUUUCCAACUGCAUCUUUGAGAGUUCUAACUCCAAAUCAGAUACUUUCUGUAAAUACUGCUGUUGCUGAAGGAGUGCUGCAUCCUUCUCCGAGUUCAAACCUAAAAUGGUCUUAUUCAGUUCUUUCAGUAUGCUCUCCAGGUCUAACUUAUUAUUUUCCAACUCACUGAGCUUCUUUGUUGACCUGUCAAAAUCUUGUGUCAACAUUUGCAUUUCUUCUUGCAACUGGGAAUGCAGACCCUCUGUCAUGAGAAGAGUUGCUUCAAUUUGCAUACGCCUAUGGCAUUCAUCUUGCAGCUUGAUAUGGACAUUGUCCGCUUCUUCUUUCUUCUUUUCAAGAUCAUGUGUCAGCAACUGUACUUUCUGCUCAAUCUCAUCUAGCUCUGAGUGUAGCUUCGACAGCUGAGACUCGAGUACCGAAACCAGCUCUAUAGACUGCUGGUGUUGAAGCACAGCUGCAUUCUUCUCAGUGUUUAGCUGUGAAAUGAUGCUCUUAAGGCUUUGUAUUUCACUUUGAAGUUCAUUCUUCGAAUCCUUGAUUGUAUUUAUCUCCUCACCAAGUUUCUGUAUAAGCACCUCAGAGGACUGGUUUUGUUCUGUAUGGCGCUCAACAUCCUUCUUCAGCUCACAAACAGUGUCUUCAAGGACCUCCAUUUCCAACUGCAUCUUUGAGAGUUCUAACUCCAAAUCAGAUACUUUCUGUAAAGACUGCUGUUGCUGAAGGAGUGUUGCAUCCUUCUCC
RNAcentral lists this long non-coding RNA (887 nucleotides) under Zea mays. RNAcentral describes it as "long non-coding RNA (ZMAY_LNC000014)". The record is from RNAcentral. Lineage: Eukaryota; Viridiplantae; Streptophyta; Magnoliopsida; Poales; Poaceae.